This 1614-nucleotide ribosomal RNA is filed under the name Stenotrophomonas nitritireducens. RNAcentral's name for it is "bacterial LSU rRNA". It matches the Rfam family "Bacterial large subunit ribosomal RNA", at positions 1323 to 2925 of the family's 2925-position model. The record is from RNAcentral. Lineage: Bacteria; Pseudomonadati; Pseudomonadota; Gammaproteobacteria; Lysobacterales; Lysobacteraceae.
GAAAAACCCGCACGCCGAAAGCCCAAGGUUUCCUUGCGCAACGUUAAUCGGCGCAGGGUGAGUCGGCCCCUAAGGCGAGGCAGAAAUGCGUAGUCGAUGGGAAGCAGGUUAAUAUUCCUGCACCUCGCGUAAGUGCGAUGGAGGGACGGAGAAGGUUAGGUGUACCAGGCGUUGGUUGUCCUGGGGAAAGGCGGUAGGUUUGAAUCUUUGGCAAAUCCGGGAUUCUUUAAGACCGAGCACCGAGACGAGCCUUUAAGGCGAAGUCACUGAUACCACGCUUCCAGGAAAAGCUCCUAAGCUUCAGCUUACGCAGACCGUACCGUAAACCGACACAGGUGGGUAGGAUGAGAAUUCUCAGGCGCUUGAGAGAACUCGGGUGAAGGAACUAGGCAACAUGGCACCGUAACUUCGGGAGAAGGUGCACCCUUUUUGGUGGCUCAUGCGAGCUAUAGCUGAAGAGGGUCGCAGUAACCAGGCCGCUGCGACUGUUUAUCAAAAACACAGCACUCUGCAAACACGAAAGUGGACGUAUAGGGUGUGACGCCUGCCCGGUGCUGGAAGGUUAAUUGAUGGGGUCAGCCGCAAGGCGAAGCUCUUGAUCGAAGCCCCAGUAAACGGCGGCCGUAACUAUAACGGUCCUAAGGUAGCGAAAUUCCUUGUCGGGUAAGUUCCGACCUGCACGAAUGGCGUAACGACAGCGGCGCUGUCUCCACCCGAGACUCAGUGAAAUUGAAAUCGCUGUGAAGAUGCAGCGUUCCCGUGGCAAGACGGAAAGACCCCGUGAACCUUUACUAUAGCUUUACACUGAACGUUGAGUUCGUCUGUGUAGGAUAGGUGGGAGGCUAUGAAACUGUGGCGCUAGCUGCAGUGGAGCCAUCCUUGAAAUACCACCCUGUCGUGCUUGACGUUCUAACCUAGGUCCAUUAUCUGGAUCGGGGACCGUGUAUGGUGGGUAGUUUGACUGGGGCGGUCUCCUCCUAAAGAGUAACGGAGGAGCUCGAAGGUACGCUCAGCGCGGUCGGACAUCGCGCACUGUGUGCAAAGGCAUAAGCGUGCUUGACUGCAAGAUCGACGGAUCAAGCAGGUAGGAAACUAGGACUUAGUGAUCCGGUGGUUCUGUAUGGAAGGGCCAUCGCUCAACGGAUAAAAGGUACUCCGGGGAUAACAGGCUGAUACCGCCCAAGAGUUCAUAUCGACGGCGGUGUUUGGCACCUCGAUGUCGGCUCAUCACAUCCUGGGGCUGUAGUCGGUCCCAAGGGUAUGGCUGUUCGCCAUUUAAAGUGGUACGCGAGCUGGGUUCAGAACGUCGUGAGACAGUUCGGUCCCUAUCUGCCAUGGGCGUUGGAAGUUUGAGAGGGGCUGCUCCUAGUACGAGAGGACCGGAGUGGACGAACCUCUGGUGUUCCGGUUGUCACGCCAGUGGCAUUGCCGGGUAGCUAUGUUCGGAAGCGAUAACCGCUGAAAGCAUCUAAGCGGGAAGCGCGCCUCAAGAUGAGACUUCCCGGGGCACAAGCCCCCUAAAGGAACCAUAUAGACUAUGUGGUUGAUAGGUCAGGUGUGUAAGUACAGCAAUGUAUUGAGCUAACUGAUACUAAUGAUCCGUGUGGCUUGACC